Molecule: ribosomal RNA, 497 nt
Filed under: uncultured bacterium
Lineage: Bacteria
Description: partial 16S ribosomal RNA
Rfam family: Bacterial small subunit ribosomal RNA
Source: RNAcentral
GACGAACGCUGGCGGCGUGCCUAAUACAUGCAAGUCGAACGCUGAAGAGAGGAGCUUGCUCUUCUUGGAUGAGUUGCGAACGGGUGAGUAACGCGUAGGUAACCUGCCUUGUAGCGGGGGAUAACUAUUGGAAACGAUAGCUAAUACCGCAUAACAAUGGAUGACACAUGUCAUUUAUUUGAAAGGGGCAAUUGCUCCACUACAAGAUGGACCUGCGUUGUAUUAGCUAGUAGGUGAGGUAAUGGCUCACCUAGGCGACGAUACAUAGCCGACCUGAGAGGGUGGUCGGCCGGACUGGGACUGAGACACGGCCCAGACGCCUACGGGAGGCAGCAGUAGGGAAUCGUCAGCAAUGGGGGCAACCCUGACCGAGCAGCGCCGCGGGAGUGAAGAAGGUUGUCGGAUCGUGAAGCUCGGUUGUAAGUCAAGAACGGGUGUGAGAGUGGAAAGUUCACACUGUGACGGUAGCUUACCAGAAAGGGACGGCUAACUACGUG